UGGUGGGUAGUUUGACUGGGGCGGUCUCCUCCUAAAGAGUAACGGAGGAGCACGAAGGUUGGCUAAUCCUGGUCGGACAUCAGGAGGUUAGUGCAAUGGCAUAAGCCAGCUUGACUGCGAGCGUGACGGCGCGAGCAGGUGCGAAAGCAGGUCAUAGUGAUCCGGUGGUUCUGAAUGGAAGGGCCAUCGCUCAACGGAUAAAAGGUACUCCGGGGAUAACAGGCUGAUACCGCCCAAGAGUUCAUAUCGACGGCGGUGUUUGGCACCUCGAUGUCGGCUCAUCACAUCCUGGGGCUGAAGUAGGUCCCAAGGGUAUGGCUGUUCGCCAUUUAAAGUGGUACGCGAGCUGGGUUUAGAACGUCGUGAGACAGUUCGGUCCCUAUCUGCCGUGGGCGCUGGAGAACUGAGGGGGGCUGCUCCUAGUACGAGAGGACCGGAGUGGACGCAUCACUGGUGUUCGGGUUGUCAUGCCAAUGGCACUGCCCGGUAGCUAAAUGCGGAAGAGAUAAGUGCUGAAAGCAUCUAAGCACGAAACUUGCCCUGAGAUGAGUUCUCCCUGACCCUUUAAGGGUCCUGAAGGAACGUUGAAGACGACGACGUUGAUAGGCCGGGUGUGUAAGCGCAGCGAUGCGUUGAGCUAACCGGUACUAAUGAACCGUGAGGCUUAACCUUACAACGCCGAAG
RNAcentral lists this ribosomal RNA (684 nucleotides) under Escherichia coli. Its description in RNAcentral is "partial 23S ribosomal RNA". It matches the Rfam family "Bacterial large subunit ribosomal RNA", at positions 2259 to 2925 of the family's 2925-position model. The record is from RNAcentral. Lineage: Bacteria; Pseudomonadati; Pseudomonadota; Gammaproteobacteria; Enterobacterales; Enterobacteriaceae.